ACGAGUAGGAGGGCCACUGCAGUGAGACUCGAAGCCUAGGGCGCAGGCCUGGGUGGAGCUGCCGCAGGUGCAGAUCUUGGUGGUCGUAGCAAAUAUUCAAAAGAGCACUUUGAAGGUCCAAGUGGAGAAGGGUUCCAUGUGAACAGCAGUUGAAC
This 155-nucleotide ribosomal RNA is filed under the name Ailuropoda melanoleuca (giant panda). RNAcentral describes it as "similar to 28S ribosomal RNA". It matches the Rfam family "Eukaryotic large subunit ribosomal RNA", at positions 1377 to 1529 of the family's 3401-position model. The record is from RNAcentral. Lineage: Eukaryota; Metazoa; Chordata; Mammalia; Carnivora; Ursidae.